Molecule: long non-coding RNA, 563 nt
Filed under: Homo sapiens (human)
Lineage: Eukaryota; Metazoa; Chordata; Mammalia; Primates; Hominidae
Description: HSALNT0279002
Source: RNAcentral
UUACGGUGCCAUGACUUGGAUAGGGUCAGAUUCAUCACUGAACCCCCAGGCUUCCCACCCAGGGUCCUACAUGCAUGGUUUUGAGGCCUUUGUCUUCACUCCUGACCGAUUGAUUUGGGGAUCCAGUGCUUUUACUAGGUCUGUGAUUACUUAAGAAAAUUGAGUCUCCCCAAUAUUAAAAGAGGACACAAUUGAAAACACUGGCUACAUCACCAAGGCUGGAAUGUUAUAUUGAUUGGAAUGUUAUAUUUUCUAAUACGACCAGACAGCUUAAGGAACUAAAAUUGACUUUGAAGAGCCUGGGAAGACAGCUUGGAAAACUGUUUCAAACCUUACCAAUGAGAAAGGAAUGUCACUUCCUGACAAGUCCAGAAAUCUUAGAUAUUUGGGGGACCUCAAGAAAAGAGGAAUUUGCCAAAUCUAUAAGUGUUACAGAUGAAACCUGUUGGCAAGUCCUUGGCCUGGCUUCCUUACCUUCAGAGGCUUCUACCAGUUCAAUCUGAGAUUCCUUUUAUUUUCUUUUUUGAGACGGAGUCUCGCUCUGUCCCCCAGGCUGGAGUGCA